UGGUUUUGGGCCUUCGAUCUAUAUGUCCUAAAGAGGGAGGGACCUGGAGUUUGAAGUUAUCAACCAAAUUAAUGGAAAAAAGGAGCUAUGAUUAUUUUUGAAUUAUUGUUUAGAGGAAGAGAGAAAUGGAUUGAGUCUAUGUAUUGAUGUUUUUCUUUAAAGUAUAUCCUAAUGCACUCUUGCAUCCUUAUUGUGCAUUGAAACUUUUUUUUCUUCAUAUUGUCAUGAUAAUGAUAAUUUAUGUGGUUGUUUUUGUAAAUUGAAUUUGGCUUCAUAUGAUAUAAUGAGAUUGACCUAGAAAAUCUUAUACAUUGAAGGUUGAUGAGAGGAAAGGAAGGUAGAAAUAAUUCUCAUAUGUUGAAGAAUACUAUUUUGGAACUUGCUAUCAUGUCCUUCACAAAAUUCUUCUAUCAUCACUAAAAUUUCUCCUACCUAUAUUUUGAAUAGCACUCCUAUGUCUCAUAGCACUUCUAUCUAUUCUCAAAUAGUAGUAAUCUUCUUUCUAUAAAUGUCAUGGGUCAUAGAAAGUUCCAUUAUAAAAUUCGGUGUGAUGAUUCUCUUGAAGUGAGCAUAUGAUCAAUUAUGUUUAAC
RNAcentral lists this long non-coding RNA (591 nucleotides) under Trifolium pratense (red clover). RNAcentral's name for it is "long non-coding RNA (TPRA_LNC009628)". Lineage: Eukaryota; Viridiplantae; Streptophyta; Magnoliopsida; Fabales; Fabaceae. The record is from RNAcentral.